ACGGGGCGCAGCAGGCGCGAAAACUUUGCAAUGUGCGAAAGCACGACAAGGUUAAUCCGAGUGGUUUCUGCUAAAGGAACUUUUGCCAGUCCUAGAAACACUAGUGAAUAAGGGGUGGGCAAGUUCUGGUGUCAGCCGCCGCGGUAAAACCAGCACCUCAAGUGGUCAGGAUGAUUAUUGGGCCUAAAGCAUCCGUAGCCGGCUCAGUAAGUUUUCGGUUAAAUCUGUACGCUCAACGUACAGGCUGCCGGGAAUACUGCAGAGCUAGGGAGUGGGAGAGGUAGACGGUACUCGGGAGGAAGUGGUAAAAUGCUUUGAUCUUUCGAUGACCACCUGUGGCGAAGGCGGUCUACCAGAACACGUCCGACGGUGAGGGAUGAAAGCUGGGGGAGCAAACCGGAUUAGAUACCCGGGUAGUCCCAGCUGUAAACUAUGCAAACUCAGUGAUGCAUUGGCUUGUGGCCAAUGCAGUGUUGCAGGGAAGCCGUUAAGUUUGCCGCCUGGAAGUACGUUACGCAAGUUAUGAAACUUAAAGGAAUUGGCGGGGGAACACCACAAGGGGUUGAAGCCUGCGGUUCAAUUGGAGUCAACGCCAGAAAUCUUACCCGGAGAGACAGCAGAAUGAAGGUCAAGCUGAGACUUUACCAGACAAGCUGAGAGGUGGUGCAUGGCCGUCGCCAGCUCGUGCCGUGAGAUGUCCUGUUAAGUCAGGUAACGAGCGAGAUCCCUGCCUCUAGUUGCCACCAUUACUCUCAGGAGUAGUGGGGCGAAUUAGCGGGACCGCCGCAGUUAAUGCGGAGGAAGGAAGGGGCCACGGCAGGUCAGUAUGCCCCGAAACUCUGGGGCCACACGCGGGCUGCAAUGGUAAUGACAAUGGGUCCCGAAUCCGAAAGGAAGAGGUAAUCCUCAACAUUACCACAGUUAUGACUGAGGGCUGCAACUCGCCCUCACGAAUAUGGAAUCCCUAGUAACUGCGUGUCAUUAUCGCGCGGUGAAUACGUCCCUGCUCCUUGCACACACCGCCCGUCGUUUCAUUGAAGUGAGCUUUUAGUGAGGUGACGUCUGAUUGGCGUUAUCGAACUUGAGGUUCGUGACAAGGGAAAAGUCGUAACAAGGUAGCCGU
RNAcentral lists this ribosomal RNA (1123 nucleotides) under uncultured archaeon CRA36-0cm. RNAcentral describes it as "bacterial SSU rRNA". It matches the Rfam family "Archaeal small subunit ribosomal RNA", at positions 325 to 1450 of the family's 1478-position model. The record is from RNAcentral.